Molecule: long non-coding RNA, 290 nt
Filed under: Elaeis guineensis (African oil palm)
Lineage: Eukaryota; Viridiplantae; Streptophyta; Magnoliopsida; Arecales; Arecaceae
Description: long non-coding RNA (EGUI_LNC054349)
Source: RNAcentral
GAUUUAGUUUUAAGAGACUGUUAUUAUGUGCCUGCAGCAAGCAGGAAUUUGAUUUCUAUUUCAUGUUUAGCACAAAAAGGCUAUGUGAUUAGCUUUCAUAAGGACCAUUGUAAUAUUUUUUAUGAAAAUAAUAAAGUUGCAGAUGGUUUUCUUAUUAACGGUCUCUAUCAGCUACAUAUUGAUGUAUCUAUAUUUAAUAUCGAGCAAAAUGUGAAUGCCAUAGAAAUUAAAAGGCGUAGAGAUAGUCUAAAUGAUAGGUAUCUAUGGCACCUAAGGCUAGGUCAUAUAGC